Molecule: unclassified non-coding RNA, 329 nt
Filed under: soil metagenome
Description: partial contains 5.8S ribosomal RNA, internal transcribed spacer 2, and large subunit ribosomal RNA
Rfam family: 5.8S ribosomal RNA (bases 1-120)
Source: RNAcentral
GAUGAAGAACGUAGCGAAAUGCGAUAAGUAAUGUGAAUUGCAGAAUUCAGUGAAUCAUCGAAUCUUUGAACGCACAUUGCGCCCUCUGGUAUUCCGGGGGGCAUGCCUGUUCGAGCGUCAUUAUAACCACUCAAGCUCUCGCUUGGUAUUGGGGUUCGCGGUUUCGCGGCCCCUAAAAUCAGUGGCGGUGCCUGUCGGCUCUACGCGUAGUAAUACUUCUCGCAAUUGAGUUCGAUAGGUCUACUUGCCAGUAACCCCCAAUUUUUACAGGUUGACCUCGGAUCAGGUAGGGAUACCCGCUGAACUUAAGCAUAUCAAUAAGCGGAGGA